RNAcentral lists this ribosomal RNA (501 nucleotides) under uncultured bacterium. RNAcentral's name for it is "partial 16S ribosomal RNA". It matches the Rfam family "Bacterial small subunit ribosomal RNA", at positions 29 to 523 of the family's 1533-position model. The record is from RNAcentral.
AUUGAACGCUGGCGGCAUGCCUUACACAUGCAAGUCGAACGGCAGCACGGGUGCUUGCACCUGGUGGCGAGUGGCGAACGGGUGAGUAAUACAUCGGAACGUACCUUAUCGUGGGGGAUAACGCAGCGAAAGCUGUGCUAAUACAGCAUACGCCCUGAGGGGGAAAGCGGGGGGUCGAAAGACCUCGCGCGAUUAGAGCGGCCGAGGGAUGGUUAGGUGGAUGGGGGGGUAAAAGCCCACCAAGGCGACGAUCAGUAGCGGGGCUGGGAGGGGAACCAGCCACACGGGGCCUGAGACACGGCCCAAAUUCCUACGGGAGGAAGGAGUGGGGAAUUUUGGAAAAUGGGGGCAACCCUGAGCAGGCAAUGCCGGGGGAGUGAAGAAGGCUUUCGGUUGGUAAAGCUCUUUUGUCAGGGAAGAAACGCCGGCUCUAACACAGUCCGGGAAUGACGGUACCUGAAGAAUAAGCACCGGCUAACUACGUGCCAGCAGCCGCCGUAA